This 364-nucleotide unclassified non-coding RNA is filed under the name Hevea brasiliensis (rubber tree). Lineage: Eukaryota; Viridiplantae; Streptophyta; Magnoliopsida; Malpighiales; Euphorbiaceae. The record is from RNAcentral.
GUUAGAAGGCCUUGACAUAAGGGUUGUUGAAAUGAAACGCUUGAAAACCUGGCCCUCAUUCAGGUGCUAUAAGCUUGGUUUGGGAAAGCUACUCCAAGAGAAGAAUCAUAGUGAAGAACUUUUUAGCAGAUUGGUUUUAGUUGCAUAAGCUUUAAGUGAGAAAACAAGAAAAGAGAAUACGAAAAAGACAUGUCUAGCUAGAAUCUUUCCUGUUCUUCCUUUCUUUUUGGGUUUAUUGGGCCUAGUUCUCACAACCUUGGGGACUAAUCCAAUACCACUGAGCCAACACAUCCCUAUGUACAAAUACUCAGGCCUGAAAUUGGACAUCUUUUUUUCUUCUUGUUAACUUUAUGAGCUAUUAAAU